UACAGAGGUCUCGAGCGUUGUUCGGAUUCAUUGGGCGUAAAGGGUGCGUAGGUGGCGCUGUAAGUCGGGUGUGAAAUCCUGAGGCUUAACCUCGGAACUGCAUUCGAUACUGCGGCGCUUGAGGGCUGGAGAGGAGACUGGAAUUCAUGGUGUAGCAGUGAAAUGCGUAGAGAUCAUGAGGAAGACCAGUGGCGAAGGCGGCAUCCUGGACCAACACUGACGCUGAGGAGCGAAAGCCAGGGGAGCAAACGGG
This 253-nucleotide ribosomal RNA is filed under the name uncultured bacterium. RNAcentral's name for it is "partial 16S ribosomal RNA". It matches the Rfam family "Bacterial small subunit ribosomal RNA", at positions 524 to 776 of the family's 1533-position model. The record is from RNAcentral.